This 117-nucleotide transfer RNA is filed under the name Candidatus Woesearchaeota archaeon. RNAcentral describes it as "tRNA-Gly". It matches the Rfam family "tRNA". Rfam says of the family: Transfer RNA (tRNA) molecules are approximately 80 nucleotides in length. Their secondary structure includes four short double-helical elements and three loops (D, anti-codon, and T loops). Lineage: Archaea; Nanobdellati; Candidatus Woesearchaeota. The record is from RNAcentral.
ACGGCUGUGGUCAAGUGGUACGCGCUAAGGUUUCUGCGGAAACCCGCUGACCUUGCCCGCGCAAGAUGACACGAGCUUCCCAAGCUUGUAGUCCGGGUUCGAUUCCCGGCAGCCGUA